Molecule: ribosomal RNA, 478 nt
Filed under: uncultured bacterium
Lineage: Bacteria
Description: partial 16S ribosomal RNA
Rfam family: Bacterial small subunit ribosomal RNA
Source: RNAcentral
GACGAACGCUGGCGGCGUGCUUAACACAUGCAAGUCGAACGGUAAGGCCCUUCGGGGUACACGAGUGGCGAACGGGUGAGUAACACGUGGGUGAUCUGCCCUGCACUUCGGGAUAAGCCUGGGAAACUGGGUCUAAUACCGGAUAGGACCACUGCCUGCAUGGGUGGUGGUGGAAAGCUUUUGCGGUGUGGGAUGGGCCCGCGGCCUAUCAGCUUGUUGGUGGGGUGAUGGCCUACCAAGGCGACGACGGGUAGCCGGCCUGAGAGGGUGACCGGCCACACUGGGACUGAGAUACGGCCCAGACUCCUACGGGAGGCAGCAGUGGGGAAUAUUGCACAAUGGGCGCAAGCCUGAUGCAGCGACGCCGCGUGAGGGAUGACGGCCUUCGGGUUGUAAACCUCCUUCAGCACCGACGAUGCGCAAGUGACGGUAGGUGCAGAAGAAGGACCGGCCAACUACGUGCCAGCAGCCGCAGUAA